Molecule: long non-coding RNA, 2301 nt
Organism: Leptidea sinapis
Lineage: Eukaryota; Metazoa; Arthropoda; Insecta; Lepidoptera; Pieridae
Exons: 6
Source: RefSeq, a predicted model, not a curated record
CCAUCAUUGAAAAAUUUACCGUUGAUAUUUCGCGACAAAAUUAAAGUAGAAAAUAUAUCGAUGAAAUCAAAUAUGAAUUCUGUUUGCUAACACAAGUUAUCGACUUCAAUAUAUACAAUGGACUGCGUAUCAAAAGAAACCCUCUGCUUAGUGUGGGAUGUUAUUUCAAAAACAGGCUUGUUUGCCUUCGUCGCCAUAUUUGUGCUGUAUUUACCCCUGGGAGAUCCCCGGGUACAAUGUUCUGGGAAACUUCACAGCUCUCGAGAAUGUCAACCAAUAACGUUAUGUGAUGUGUACUUCUUCCUCGUUCAAUCCGCCAAUAACUUGAUGAAGUUAAUGGAGACUGUCGUCAAAACAAUAUUAGACAUCCUCUACGAGACCAAGCUGCAGUUUUAUUACAUGCUAGAGCGGCUGGAUGGAAAAGAUUUAUGUCGCUCCGUUUGCUGUAUCGCUAGUGCAGAUGGACCGGGGCAUCAUGAAGCAAAAGCGGCGACCGAAGCCCGUACUUGCAAGUGUUCUAGACGUAAAUGUAGUAAAGGAAAACUCACAUAGAUUCACUAAAUAUAAUUCACUUAAUAUGUUAUGUCACGGACUAGUAAAAAAAUAAGGACUCCGUGUCGCCUUACUUAAUAGUGUAGCACCAAAACAAGCCGAUUAACGUGUAAAUACAUAGCCCCACGCACACACUCACACUACUACAGGCCGAUGGGCGGCCAUUAUGAGAAUUGUCAUCGUCUGUGACAGAUCAGUUUGCGUCUCAAUAAAAUAUAUUAAAAAUAUCGUCGAGCGUUGUAAAAAAGUGUAAAAAUGAUUAUAAUUCUUCUUAAGGUUUUGGACCCAAAGGGAAAUCAACGGGAGAAAAUAAGAUGGCGCGGUUUAUCCAUUCUUCUGUCCAACUAUUUAACGCACACACUCACACUACUACAGGCCGAUAGGCGGCCAUUAUGAGAAUUGCCAUCGUCUGUGACAGAUCAGUUUGCGUCUCAAUAAAAUAUUUUAAAAAUAUCGUCGAGCGUUGUGAAAAAGUGUAAAAAUGAUACUAUAUAAGUAUUUGUGGCCAUAUAUGAUUAUUUAAGGGAGACAAAAUUGUGUAACUAGUAUCCCCCGUAACCGCACACACACUAGCAUAAAGGUGCUUCACUUGCUAAUAUCACGGCGCGGAGUCCUUCUUUUUAGACUCGUCCGUGUAUAUGAUAUUAUUCAAUACUUGUAUGAAUGCUGUGCCGAUUUCGAAAGUUGGUUGUAGCAGGUCGUAUUAUAUACUAGUAUACUAGUUGUAUAUUAUUUAGUCAAUGUGAGUUAGGCUAGGGUUACUAUGGAUGCGAGUUCUGACGAAAAUUUGUUCUGACGAGUACGUCCGACGUACGACGUCGUGCAUGUUCUGACGCGUUCGUCGUUGCCAGUGUAAACACUGUCAUUGGAUACCAGGCAUUUGUUUCUUCUGACGAAUCCGUAAGAACUCAUUAGAACAAUUUUUCGUCAGAACUCACAUCCAUAGUAACCCUAGCCUAAAUAGCACAGCAUACCAAUGAAUCGCUCGAUCAAUGCAAAUAUUGUAAAAACCUUUACAAAGUGGAGUCUUAAUUUAUAUUAAAUGCUUACUGCACGAUAAAUUUACUGAAACAACAUCUUUUUACCAUCAUUCUGUUUUGGAACUAAUAAUUAUAGCUAUUAGAAAAAACAGGUAAAAAUAUUUGUCUCAAACGUGAUUAUAUAAAAUAUUUGUAAAUUAUCAUUCUAAGAUUAAAGAUUGGUCUCCGCUGCGCUCGAACUUGAUACCGCACUACCUAAGACAGUAGCUUUUUUACUACGGCAACUAUUAGAUGCAUGUGUGCGUGGCAUCUUGACACUCAAUGGCAUCUUUCAAAUUUUAUAACAUACGCUUUUUAAUAAAACAAAAUAUUUACUGAUGAUAUGUGAUCCCAGUGCCUUUCUUAUUUCUUGUAGUAUUCUUUUUAAUAAAGUUUUACUACGCAACCCGACAUUUAUCAGCAAAAUUUUAUAGAACAUGUGGCACGUUAACGUCACACAUUGUUCGAGACUUGCUCGAGUACGCCCACUUGGGCCUAGUAAUAGUUGCCGCACUUUGCGACUACGCAUGCGGUAUGUAGUUGGAGCGCAGCGGAGACCAAUCCAUAAUCUAAGUUAUCAUUUGUUAUUUUGUUAGCAGAUAUUAAAAUGAACGAUAUUUGUGUACCAUUUUAAUGACAGUUAUCUUUAAAUAAGUUUGUACAUACAGUAAGGUGUAAAUUGUGGGUUUUUAAUGUUAUUGUGUUUUAAAUAUAUUUAUUUUAAUCUGCA